UCGUUGAUCCAUUUUGAAUUAAUUUUUUUGUGUGUUGUGUCAGGUGAGGGACCCACUUCAUUCUUUCGCAUGUGGAUAGCACCAUCUCUGUUAGAGAGACUGUUCUCUUCCCAUUGAUUGGACUUGGCAUAUACCCAUAUUUUCGAACCUUUUUCACCUCUCCCUAGCAUAGCUCUUCACUAGAGUCAUUCUAAUGCCUUUACCAUAUCUGGAACCUGCAGUGUUUAUCUCUGUCUGCCUCUUCAUUUUUUGCCCAGAAUCCUUUUCUUCUUGUUAAUGUGCUGAUUUUUCCUAGUCCACACUAAUCUCUCCUUCUUCAGAACUCCUAAAUUUGGAGCAUUUAGUGCCAUUCUUCUCAUCCUCUUAGAUAAUAGUAUAAGAUAAGCACAUUUCUGAUUGGGUGGUUCGUAGGCCUCUGUCUGUUCUCCCCAGCUAGCGAAUAGAACUCUGUGGGCGGGAAUCAGGCCUGAACUUCUUUAUCUCCCAUAGUGUUACCCUGAGGAAGUACUAAGUAAAUGAGUGAAACGUAGUUUUAUGUGAUUUAUAUCAGUAGAUUGUCUUAUUUUAAAUGUAAAUUCACUCUCAUUUGGUCUUACUAAGUAGGGAGCUGCCUCUGCAGUAUCUAAAAUAGAAUAAAAAUAAGAAUCCAGGUCUUUCAGUAUGCUGAGGUCAUCAGACACUCAGUGAACCUGACUUGGCAUUUUGUUUUCCCUAGCUCUAAGGCAUUGUGUGGUAUGUUUGGAAAGUCUGAGGUUGGUCUAAUAAAAAAACAUAUAGAUGAUGGAAAGAGAAAAUCCCUUCAACCCUUUUUUGGGGAGUGUGACGGGAACAUUUGAUAAGGUCUUUAAAAACUGUAUUUGCUAAACCAAAUUAAUGUUUCAUUUAAAAGAAGUUGAGCUUUAGCCUAUUUUUCAUGAAACAUGUAGGUCCCCACAUGAGGCUUGUUUAGCAUGUCAUCUGUGUGACUGGCAUAAGCUCAUAGUCUCUCCACUGAGGAAAGCUGGGAGAAGUAGUCCCAGCACUUAAUGGUGCCCCUGAGCUAAUCCUGCUGGCUCCAUGGUAAACAUGGGCCUUUUAAUAGACUGGAGACAAAGUGACAUUCGGAAGAAACAACAUGUCGACAAUUUCCUUAAUAAAUUUUGUACGAACACAUUAUUUCCACCUAAUGGAAAUGUAGCUCUCUUAAAUAAUUGAGAGGCUGUAUUCAUCAGUGGUGAGUUCAGCUGGGAUCUUUGUGAGCUAGGGCAGCCAACAACCCCUUGGAAAACAGGGUAAUUGAUAUUUUACAUAAGUGGCUUGACUAGUUUUCAGGUGGGCUCUGUGUGACAUUCCCCUGCAGUCCCCAUGCACAGCUCUCUUCUGUUGUCCAGGCUGUCACAAAGCAGCUCCACACUGAAGGUUCCAGUUGCAGCCACCGAACUGCCAAGACUAAGGGUAGUUCCUGAAAUGACUGAGCUGUUGAAGAAAAAAUGAGUCGUGAUCAUGUCUUAAGAAAGGAAAUUAUGUCAAAGUAUUCAGCUGAAAUCAUAGAAAUUCAUGGCUAUUAAUCAUUAGAAAGCAUGGAGAGCUACAUUUCAUAAUAUGAGGAAAAAUUCUAACAGAUGCCAGAAUGCUUUUUUAUGGGGAUAUUAUUAUGUUUCUUUCUAAUAAUUUGUGGUUCCAAACAAUUAUUUUUUGAAAUUUUCUAAUUCUGUAAUAAAAUAUAUAAUAAAGCCUU
Long non-coding RNA from Equus quagga, 1717 nucleotides. RefSeq lists it as uncharacterized. The transcript is spliced from 2 exons. The record is from RefSeq and is a predicted model, not a curated record. NCBI's taxonomy places the organism in Eukaryota, Metazoa, Chordata, Mammalia, Perissodactyla, Equidae.